UGGGCGGAUAGGAACCAUUUCGUGCCGGUGCGCGAUGUGGGCCGAUAAACCGCCAAUAAUGAACUGUUGGGGUCUACGUUGCGAGUUUCGCUAUUUGGCGAGAUCCGCUAUGGUUCCUAAUUGAACAUUU
Molecule: small nucleolar RNA, 130 nt
Filed under: Nippostrongylus brasiliensis
Lineage: Eukaryota; Metazoa; Nematoda; Chromadorea; Rhabditida; Heligmosomidae
Description: Nematode snoRNA ceN39
Rfam family: Nematode snoRNA ceN39
Source: Rfam by way of RNAcentral